This 460-nucleotide ribosomal RNA is filed under the name uncultured bacterium. Its description in RNAcentral is "partial 16S ribosomal RNA". It matches the Rfam family "Bacterial small subunit ribosomal RNA", at positions 338 to 795 of the family's 1533-position model. The record is from RNAcentral.
CCUACGGGCGGCAGCAGUGAGGAAUAUUGGUCAAUGGACGAGAGUCUGAACCAGCCAAGUAGCGUGAAGGAUGACUGCCCUAUGGGUUGUAAACUUCUUUUAUAUGGGAAUAAAACGUUCCACGUGUGGGAUUUUGUAUGUACCAUAUGAAUAAGGAUCGGCUAACUCCGUGCCAGCAGCCGCGGUAAUACGGAGGAUCCGAGCGUUAUCCGGAUUUAUUGGGUUUAAAGGGAGCGUAGGAGGAUUGUUAAGUCAGUUGUGAAAGUUUGCGGCUCAACCGUAAAAUUGCAGUUGAAACUGGCAGUCUUGAGUACAGUAGAGGUGGGCGGAAUUCGUGGUGUAGCGGUGAAAUGCUUAGAUAUCACGAAGAACUCCGAUUGCGAAGGCAGUUCACUGGACUGCAACUGACACUGAGGCUCGAAAGUGUGGGUAUCAAACAGGAUUAGAUACCCGAGUAGUC